Molecule: non-coding RNA, 111 nt
Organism: Acanthosepion pharaonis
Lineage: Eukaryota; Metazoa; Mollusca; Cephalopoda; Sepiida; Sepiidae
Source: the annotation of a GenBank genome assembly
AGGCCAUAUCACACUGAAACACCGGUUUCCGUACGAUCACCGAUGUUAAGCAUCGUCGAGCAUUGUUAGUACUUAGACGGGUGACCGCCUUGGAAUUACCAGGUGCUGUUA